Molecule: ribosomal RNA, 301 nt
Filed under: uncultured bacterium
Lineage: Bacteria
Description: partial 16S ribosomal RNA
Rfam family: Bacterial small subunit ribosomal RNA
Source: RNAcentral
CAGUCGCCACGGUAAAACGGAGGGUGCAAGCGUUAAUCGGAAUUACUGGGCGUAAAGCGCACGCAGGCGGUCUGUCAAGUCAGAUGUGAAAUCCCCGGGCUUAACCUGGGAACUGCAUUUGAAACUGGCAGGCUAGAGUCUUGUAGAGGGGGGUAGAAUUCCAGGUGUAGCGGUGAAAUGCGUAGAGAUCUGGAGGAAUACCGGUGGCGAAGGCGGCCCCCUGGACAAAGACUGACGCUCAGGUGCGAAAGCGUGGGGAGCAAACAGGAUUAGAUACCCGUGUAGUCCCUGUCUCUUAUAC